UGAGAAGAAUGAAAAAUCAGACAUGAUGGUGCUAAGCUAGCAAGUAAUUUGUGACCCAGAACAACAGUUAACAAUGGUAUCUGCUGAUCCACAUCAACAAGGGAUGGACAAGCAUCCCAAUCCAUAAGUGACAGCGUGGGCGUGGAGCAGAAUGCACUCAGCCCUCCCCACCCAAUAACGGAGGGUGUGUGUGUGUGUGUAUGGGGGACACUCUCCCAAGCAGCAAGGUCUGGGGAGCACGUUCUGGGGCACUACCAGCUCCUGAGCUAAGUCUAGUAGUCAUAGGAGUGGGAGAUGGUGUUCCUUCUGUCGCUGCCCUACUGGAAUGGCAUGCGUACCCUGUCCACCCAGACUCCUAUGGACUGGGGGGGGCAGGAAGAAUUGAAAGAAGGAAGGCAGCCACUGGAAUGCAGUCCUGAUGACUGGGGCAGGGGGCCAUUUGAGCAAAGCAGGCAAGGGGACAGGCUAGCAGGGCAGGGCAGAGAAGGUGUACAGGUCUCUGGAGCUCAGUGGGGCUAGAUGUGGCUCUUGGAGCUAGAAUGAGAGUCCUACUCUCAGGAGGAAGUUCAUGGAUUUUUUUCUGCCCUGUGAACAACCUCUGUCAAGGUUCACCAAGGGCCCAUGGGAACAUCUUCACAUAGCUCUGCUGUCAUGGAAAGACUGUCACUGUAGUUCAUCAUUCUAGGGGCCCCCCCCCCACUCUCUGUUAUUCCAGGCCUAUCAAGGGUAGCAUUAAAUGGCCAGAUUUCUGGGGCUUCCUUUCCCCCUUCGGAAACCAUUCCUCAGCUUAACUGAUCUCCCAGGCAGGAGGCAUCUUUGAACACACAGGCCAGCUCUUCCUUUUUGACUUUCAUUCAGUGGCUGCCAGACAUGCCUCCUUCGCAGUCAGUAAUCCCUUGCUAGUUGAGAAGGGGACCAGCUGUAGAUUAACAUAAUUUUUGGGUGGAUAAGCCGUGCUGAGUUUUGCCCGCAUGCCACUCCUCACUUCCUGUCACAUACAGGGGAAGAAACCACAUCCAAAACAGCUCUCAGAAUAUCCAGCUGUUCGGGGAGGAUUUAAAAUGUGGCCAAGGCACAGAGAGAACCCAAGGAAGUUUGUGCAGGCUGGAUCUUGUUUGCCAGUGGCACAACUUGGGAACUGGUCUGUUGCCAUGUGACAUGUCCUACGUCUCUAUGGACCAUUUAGUGCUAUCUGCAGAUGGGCCUGAGUUGAAAGUUCUGAUUCAGAUCUGAGCCCCUCCGAGCUUGGGAGUAUUUGAGGAUCUAGCUGUAAUAUUCUGUCCAGAUGCCCGAAGCUGUGGCAAGGAUGUGGGGAAGGGAGCUCUGGCCUGAGAGUUUGCUUUCAGCCCAUCUCGUGUGAUAACAGGCCCAUGCUUAAGCUUUUGGCACAUGAAACAGCCAACACUUGGGGAGAAAACGCCUUUUCUGGACCUAGCAAUAAUGGGGUGAAAACUACCCCACCCUGCAGGAGGGGAAAACAGACAGACUGCUUCCCUUUCCUAUGGGAUGCCUUCAUUAUCAGAGUUGAAGGAGUUGCACAGACACACUCGAUUCUGUACGGUGCUGAGUGCUUCCUGCGAGGUGCUGAGAGUCCUCAAUUCCCACUUACUUUACCAGGAGCUGAGGGCACUUGAGGAUACGCAGCAGCAUACAGGAGGUGCUCAGCACCUCGUGGGAUUGUUCCCCCACAUUCAUUUUCGUUAGCACUAGCUCACGCAUGAGAAAAGCAAAGCUGCAUUUUUUGCAGUAUACAGGGCUGCAGAACGCAACCAAGAGCACUUACUGUUUGCUGAAGUGAAGCCGCAGUCUCCUGCGCAGGCCUGAAAGGAGACAGGCAAUAGCUCAGGAGAACAGUUCCUUGGCUUCUAGCACUCCCACCCCACAAAGCUCUCUCCUGAACUCCUGAUAUUCCCUGCUCCCACUCCCAGACAUCUCUGCCUCCUCAAGACCCCCUCCCCUUUCCCCCACUGGAGCUGUCCUGCCAGGGUUUCCCAGCCUGCAGCUGCUCCUUGAGGCCCUGUCUGAAGGGUGCGGAUGCUCCUCUAUGCUGGGAUGAGGAGCAGAAAUGUGUGAGGGCCGCCAUCUUGGCUGAUGCACCUGGGAUUGACUGGGGACCUCCAGAGCUAAAAACGUGAGCAGUUGAAGCGCCGUAGCUGGGGGUUGUAACAGAUGCAUAUCCUCCGGGGAUCAGCAGAGAGAGGGGACCUGUAACACCUGUAACACUGGGAUUUGUGUGCACACAGCCCUAGGCUGCAGGCAUUUUUGGGGGGGUCCCUAUGGGAUUUGGGGUGGAUGACGGGUUUCCUGUGAGACCUGUCUCCCCAUCCUCUGCUUCCUUCCCAAAUGGAUCUUUGGACCCACCAGAGGCUCUCUGCAGGGUGCUGGGGCAGAAGAGAGUGCCCCCUUCUGAGCAGGAGAGGUGAAUUCCACACAUGGAGAAACCCCCCUCAGAAGAGUGAAAAGCUCCGGGAGCAGUGCGUCCCAUUUGCUGUGCCCAGCACUUACGCUGAAAGCGACGGAUGGCAAUAACCAGAGACAGCAGUAAAAUAACAGCACAUGUCGCUAAUGGGGCCCAGAUGAAGCCGCUGCAGGAAGAACCUAGAAACCAAAAGAAACACACAAACAGGCACGGGCAGCAUUGCCAAACCAGCAGUUGGAGCCAUGCGUGUGGAUCCUGUGCUUCUAAGGAGUGCCCCAGAUUCCAUCAGCCCGGCACCAGGGUCCUGCUGGAUCAGAUUGCAGGAAUCAGCAGUGCCAGCUUCCCCACACAGCAGCAUCUCGGCCAAGCCUUGUGAGAUUUUGGAGUGCGCGUGCUAGUCUGAAACAGCACUUACCCACGCUAAGCUCCGUUCCAUUGCCAAAGAGCAGCUCCGAGUAUUGGGAGACAGCGCAG
Molecule: long non-coding RNA, 2893 nt
Organism: Chelonia mydas (Green sea turtle)
Lineage: Eukaryota; Metazoa; Chordata; Testudines; Cheloniidae
Exons: 3
Source: RefSeq, a predicted model, not a curated record